CCUGGCGCGUGCUUACCAUGCAAGUCGAACGGAGAUUCAGCAAUGGAUCUUAGUGGCGAACGGGUGAGUAACGCGUAGGCAAUCUGCCUUCUAGAUGGGGACAACAUCCCGAAAGGGGUGCUAAUACCGAAUGUUGUAAUUGGUUCGCAUGGACUAGCUACUAAAGGUGGCCUCUGAAUAUGCUACCGCUAGAAGAUGAGCCUGCGUCUGAUUAGCUAGUUGGAGGGGUAACGGCCCACCAAGGCUUCGAUCAGUAGCCGGUCUGAGAGGAUGAACGGCCACACUGGGACUGAGACACGGCCCAGACUCCUACGGGAGGCAGCAGUGGGGAAUCUUCCGCAAUGGACGAAAGUCUGACGGAGCAACGCCGCGUGAGUGAAGAAGGUUUUCGGAUCGUAAAGCUCUUUCGUUAGGGACGAACGUGCUCUUUGUGAAUAAUGAGGAGUAUUGACGGUACCUAAAUAAGAAGCCACGGCUAACUACGUGCCAGCAGCCGCGGUAAUACGUAGGUGGCAAGCGUUGUCCGGAAUUAUUGGGCGUAAAGCGCGCGCAGGCGGGAUAUCAAGUCUGUCUUAAAAGUGCGAGGCUCAACCUCGUGAGGGGACGGAAACUGGUAUUCUUGAGUGUCGGAGAGGAAAGUGGAAUUCCAAGUGUAGCGGUGAAAUGCGUAGAGAUUUGGAAGAACACCAGUGGCGAAGGCGACUUUCUGGACGAUGUCUGACGCUGAGGCGCGAAAGCUAGGGGAGCGAACGGGAUUAGAUACCCCGGUAGUCCUAGCCGUAACGAUGGGUACUAGUGUAGGGGUAUCGACCCCUCCUGU
RNAcentral lists this ribosomal RNA (820 nucleotides) under uncultured Anaerovibrio sp. RNAcentral's name for it is "bacterial SSU rRNA". It matches the Rfam family "Bacterial small subunit ribosomal RNA", at positions 35 to 844 of the family's 1533-position model. The record is from RNAcentral. Lineage: Bacteria; Bacillati; Bacillota; Negativicutes; Selenomonadales; Selenomonadaceae.